RNAcentral lists this ribosomal RNA (425 nucleotides) under uncultured bacterium. RNAcentral's name for it is "partial 16S ribosomal RNA". It matches the Rfam family "Bacterial small subunit ribosomal RNA", at positions 354 to 796 of the family's 1533-position model. The record is from RNAcentral.
GUGGGGAAUCUUAGACAAUGGGCGCAAGCCUGAUCUAGCCAUGCCGCGUGAGCGAUGAAGGCCUUAGGGUUGUAAAGCUCUUUCGUGGGGGAAGAUAAUGACUGUACCCCAAGAAGAAGCCCCGGCUAACUCCGUGUCAGCAGCCGCGGUAAUACGGAGGGGGCUAGCGUUGUUCGGAAUUACUGGGCGUAAAGCGCACGUAGGCGGACUGGAAAGUCAGGGGUGAAAUCCCGGGGCUCAACCCCGGAACUGCCUUUGAAACUCCCAGUCUUGAGGUCGAGAGAGGUGGGUGGAAUUCCGAGUGUAGAGGUGAAAUUCGUAGAUAUUCGGAGGAACACCAGUGGCGAAGGCGGCCCACUGGCUCGAUACUGACGCUGAGGUGCGAAAGCGUGGGGAGCAAACAGGAUUAGAAACCCGUGUAGUCC